This 39-nucleotide ribosomal RNA is filed under the name Epichloe uncinata. Its description in RNAcentral is "partial 28S ribosomal RNA". The record is from RNAcentral. RNAcentral also lists the same sequence under 6 other names. Lineage: Eukaryota; Fungi; Ascomycota; Sordariomycetes; Hypocreales; Clavicipitaceae.
GUUGACCUCGAAUCAGGUAGGAAUACCCGCUGAACUUAA